UUCUUCUGAAAGAUGUGCAACCACCCAUAGUGAUAGUGGUCCUGUAUGGCCCCCAAAAAGUAGUAGUGUGCGCCGCCACAGAGAGGUUUUCUCGGUAAUGAUUGGAACAAGUCGAUCACGAUAAGUCUUUUAUCAGUAGGCCAACCUAAAAAAAUCCCCAUAAUUAGCACAACCAUUUGCUCAGUAUCUCACCUUUGCCUAGUUGUGGAGCUAAUAACCGCAAAGAACAAGAAGCGUUUUGUCCAAACAAACUCUGAAGGACGGUGAAAAGUCGGGCGUGGCAAUAUGAAUGGAAGAGUGAGGAAAAACCUCCUCUGCUGGGAGCUGAUAAGAAUGCAUGAUGCAAUACGACCAGCAAUCUAAUGCCUAAUAUCCACGAUCAUUGAGAGAUAUGUAAUAUCGUGCUUCUCACCCUGCCACUUGCUUUUUCUUUGCAGAGUAGAGCCAUCAUCAUUACAAGUAUUAGUAGCAGAUCGGCCGGGUCUGCAGACCAGCCAUACAGCGAACUGCAGUCUAUGGAAUAUAAGCGAAAGAACGCGGAAAAAUGAACGACAUGGAACUUGACACAACUGUACAGCACUACAAACUAGUACUAGUAUUGUUUCCUUGGAUUUUUGAAACUUAGAACUGGAUCACCAAGCAACAAGCCCUGCACCGAAGACAGGAUUCAAAUGGGACACAUAGUCGACUACAUUACAUAAAAAUGGAAAGCGGAAUUGCGAAUGUUACCUGAUCCAGCAGAUAUAUUGAAUCGAUUGAAAAUAGACGUUCAACAUGAUGCCAACGCCUUCUAAUCCUCGAGGACGUUACUGAUAGAUACACGCAGGAUAAUGAGUGUAUUAUUAUGUUUCAAUUCAAGGUGCGAUCAUCUACCUCAUACCUUGGUUUCUUUUUGGAGCCUGUAUGAGUAUCCUCGUCGCCUUCCCAAGAAAGCUCUGCCAACGACAUUGAUCCGUGCGGCGCUCGUGAUCGUUUUAAAUGAGACAUGGAGGGCAGAUGUCGAUUCUCGUGACCUGAAUGACCGGAGAGUUGAGGAGGAGGAAGAAUCCCUUCAAUCGCCAGCUGCAAUUCAGUGAUCCUUCACCACAUCAGUUAAUGAGGUAACAAGUCGACCACCAAGCUUACCUCAUGGCGAGUUUCUGGUUCUGGGACUCUUGUCAGCUUUUUUAACGGUUGACUAUAACCAUUACACGCACGACUGGUGUACGCGCCUAGCAUGCUUAACAAUUGCUUUCGCCCUGUUGUCUUUCUCUUCUUCACUCAAUGACCCGACUUCUCGGAUGUGGGACUUAGACGUAACGUCAAUAUCUGACGGUGGUCCCAGUUGAGGAAUAGGUUGCUGAGGUGAUUGGCCUUGAAGCCGUCGCUCUUUCUCACGCUCGUGGGCCAUCUCUUGGGACACAAUCAUUUGGAUCUUCAGGAUUGUCAACCAUUAGACUGUAGUGAUAUGUAA
Molecule: small RNA, 1453 nt
Filed under: Cryptococcus neoformans H99
Lineage: Eukaryota; Fungi; Basidiomycota; Tremellomycetes; Tremellales; Cryptococcaceae
Description: Cryptococcus neoformans var. grubii H99 hypothetical RNA
Source: RNAcentral